UUAGGGAUCUUGCGCAAUGGGCUAACGCCUGACGCAGCGACGCCGCGUGCGGGAAGACGGCCCUCGGGUCGUAAACCGCUUUUCCCGGGGACGAGGACGGACGGUACCCGGGGAAGAAGCACCGGCUAACCCCGUGCCAGCAGCCGCGGUAAUACGGGGGGUGCGAGCGUUGUCCGGAUUCACUGGGCGUAAAGGGCGCGUAGGCGGCCCGAUCAGUCCAAUCUUCAAGCGCGGGGCUCACCCCCGCGAAGGGUUGGGGACGGUGGGGCUGGGGCGCGGUCGAGGGAUGCGGAAUGCCGGGUGUAGUGGUGAAAUGCGUAGAGAUCCGGCGGAACACCGGUGGUGGAGGCGGCAUCCUGGGCCGUGGCCGACGCUGAGGCGCGAGAGCGCGGGGAGCGAACCGG
Molecule: ribosomal RNA, 404 nt
Filed under: uncultured bacterium
Lineage: Bacteria
Description: bacterial SSU rRNA
Rfam family: Bacterial small subunit ribosomal RNA
Source: RNAcentral